CUUUCUUCUGAUGAGUGAACAGCCUCACCGGAACUUCCCCAUCCUCCUGGCUUGGUUCCUGAAGUGGCCCAAGGCUGCCUUCUCCCUCCCGUGGGUGAACAGGGUCACUGCUUCCUCUCUUGUCCAGGCCCCCUGGCCUGACCCUGAGUCCCGGGCGUAACGGCGUUGUUGAACCACCACAACCCCAGGCGGCGCCUUCCUCUUGGCCCAGGGGCUCUCUUGGGGACAGUGUGCAGUACUCCCCAAGGGGGCUUUGCUGUGCAAAAGCAGCCCCUGCCGAUGCUGCGGCUCCCGUGGAUGGAGCACUGCCGUGGGAACAGAGUUGGAACUCAUCCAAAAGAAUAAAAGACAACUGUGUUGGAAGAUUGCCAAGGUUUGUAGCUGUGCCACCGCAGACUUCAGAGAUGAACACUGCCUUGGAGACGAGGAGGAUUCAAGUUGCAGAAGCAUUUAGAAACCUCAAACUUGAGACACGGUGGGAAAUCAGGAAGACAUGAGGCUUUGCUCAACACUGGAGAACACCAGUUCUUUUCAGUUUGUAUGCAUCUUUAUCAGGUAGACACAAACAAAGAGGCAACAAAGAAAUUAGAAGGUUGUAUAAGAAGCUGCAUAGAAUCACAAUGACUGCGUUGUCCUGAAACCAACCCAGGGGGAGCAUGAACCAAUGAAGUACCACCGUACCUGACCAGGGAGACACAGAUGAGGAAUUGCAAAGGAAAGAUGUGGCUGCAUCAGAGAAGCCUGCUCAAUUUUUUGCAGAAGAUGAAUGAUUAAUUCAUCACCUGCAGUGACACUGGACUUAUUAUCAUUUUGCUUUCUAAGACUGUUUUACAAAUAACUGGUCAGUUAGUUAAGAAACUGGGAAAUAUUCAUUAUAAUAUAGUGAAGAAGUUGGUCCAGAAAUUAGAGAUCUGGCUUCUCCUCUCUAUUUUGUCUUUAGCUAAAGAUAAGCAAAACUUUUUCACUCUCUGGACUUCAAUGUUCUCAUCUUA
Molecule: long non-coding RNA, 992 nt
Filed under: Homo sapiens (human)
Lineage: Eukaryota; Metazoa; Chordata; Mammalia; Primates; Hominidae
Description: HSALNT0305595
Source: RNAcentral